Molecule: non-coding RNA, 123 nt
Filed under: Streptomyces sp.
Lineage: Bacteria; Bacillati; Actinomycetota; Actinomycetes; Kitasatosporales; Streptomycetaceae
Source: RNAcentral
AGAGGAAGCCGGUGUGAUUCCGGCGCGGUCCCGCCACUGUGAUCGGCGAGUCGAUCCCGACAGGCCACUGCCCGUGAGGGCGGGAAGGCCGGGAUCGGCGGCGACCCGAGAGCCAGGAGACUC